CGUGUAGGCGGUUGGCCAAGUCUGAUGUGAAAGCCCGGGGCUCAGCUCCGGAAGUGCAUCGGAAACUAGCCAGCUGGAGCGCGAUAGAGGAGGGCGGAAUUCCUGGUGUAGCGGUGAAAUGCGUAGAUAUCAGGAGGAACACCGGCGGCGAAGGCGGCCCUCUGGAUCGUUGCUGACGCUGAGACGCGAAAGCGUGGGGAGCAAACAGGAUUAGAUACCCUGGUAGUCCACGCUGUAAACUAUGGGUACUAGGUGUUCGGGGUAUUGACCCCCUGAGUGCCGCAGCUAACGCAUUAAGUACCCCGCCUGGGGACUACGGCCGCAAGGUUAAA
Molecule: ribosomal RNA, 332 nt
Filed under: uncultured bacterium
Lineage: Bacteria
Description: bacterial SSU rRNA
Rfam family: Bacterial small subunit ribosomal RNA
Source: RNAcentral